GUAACAAUCAUCCACCAGUUAAGAAAUACUACUUAGAGUCGACACAUGAAUAUCUUACAAAGAUCAAGAAUUAUAAAUAUAUGAAACGGGGAUAAAAUUAACCUUCGGACAACAGAAAGAAGACUCCAGGAGACAAGAUACAGGGAAUAUAGACAAAAAACAUCUAAAGCCCCAUAGCAAGAAGAUUGGGAAUAUAAUAUUGAUAAAAAACUGAUAAAAGAAGAAAGAUGAGUUUAAAUGUUCAGAAGACCUCUGCAGUGGCUUUCAGAAUGAGACCAUCUCUUGUAAUUACCAUGACAUGUGACAGAAUGACUACACUCUGAAGUCCAACAUGCUACAGCUUCAUUGUCAAACAAUUGCCUUGGCAUCCCGUUCUCCAGCAAGGACCAACAGUUCUGGAAUAUGGAUAUAAUGGCAAGAUAUAUCAGCUGGCUUGAUACCUUUGAAAAGAAUUAUGAACAUCUGAAUUGAAGGUAGCCUACAGGAAACUGCACUACUGGAAAAUUCAGCUAUAGACUUCCUUAGGAAAGACUGUUCACAUCAGAGCCUUGAAUAGUGAUGCUCAUGUGAGGAUGAAUCUCCUGUGAACCGAAGCAGCAAGGCAUUUGCAACAAGAUCAGCCAGUUAGAAUUUUGGCCAUAGACGAUGCAGGUUUUGCAGCAGCUGGUGAGAUCCUUACUGUAGUGUAUUAAUACUAAUAAAGGAAUAUCAUUA
Penaeus vannamei (Pacific white shrimp) is the source of this 714-nucleotide non-coding RNA. Lineage: Eukaryota; Metazoa; Arthropoda; Malacostraca; Decapoda; Penaeidae. The record is from RefSeq and is a predicted model, not a curated record.